This 491-nucleotide ribosomal RNA is filed under the name uncultured bacterium. RNAcentral's name for it is "partial 16S ribosomal RNA". It matches the Rfam family "Bacterial small subunit ribosomal RNA", at positions 29 to 506 of the family's 1533-position model. The record is from RNAcentral.
AGUGAACGCUGGCGGUAGGCCUAACACAUGCAAGUCGAACGGCAGCACAGUAAGAGCUUGCUCUUACGGGUGGCGAGUGGCGGACGGGUGAGGAAUACAUCGGAAUCUACUUUUUCGUGGGGGAUAACGUAGGGAAACUUACGCUAAUACCGCAUACGACCUACGGGUGAAAGCAGGGGAUCUUCGGACCUUGCGCGAUUGAAUGAGCCGAUGUCGGAUUAGCUAGUUGGCGGGGUAAAGGCCCACCAAGGCGACGAUCCGUAGCUGGUCUGAGAGGAUGAUCAGCCACACUGGAACUGAGACACGGUCCAGACUCCUACGGGAGGCAGCAGUGGGGAAUAUUGGACAAUGGGCGCAAGCCUGAUCCAGACAUACCGCGUGGGUGAAGAAGGCCUUCGGGUUGUAAAGCCCUUUUGUUGGGAAAGAAAAGCAGCAGGUUAAGACCCCGCUGUUCUGACGGUACCCAAAGAAGAAGCACCGGCUAACUUCGU